UACGUAGGGCGCAAGCGUUAUCCGGAAUUAUUGGGCGUAAAGAGCUCGUAGGCGGUUUGUCGCGUCUGCCGUGAAAGUCCGGGGCUCAACUCCGGAUCUGCGGUGGGUACGGGCAGACUAGAGUGAUGUAGGGGAGACUGGAAUUCCUGGUGUAGCGGUGAAAUGCGCAGAUAUCAGGAGGAACACCGGUGGCGAAGGCGGGUCUCUGGGCCGGUACUGACGCUGAGGAGCGAAAGCGUGGGGAGCGAACAGG
This 253-nucleotide ribosomal RNA is filed under the name uncultured bacterium. RNAcentral describes it as "partial 16S ribosomal RNA". It matches the Rfam family "Bacterial small subunit ribosomal RNA", at positions 524 to 776 of the family's 1533-position model. The record is from RNAcentral.